ACUGCGACCCCAGGUCAGGCGGGAUUACCCGCUGAUUU
This 38-nucleotide ribosomal RNA is filed under the name Erica scoparia. RNAcentral describes it as "partial 28S ribosomal RNA". The record is from RNAcentral. Lineage: Eukaryota; Viridiplantae; Streptophyta; Magnoliopsida; Ericales; Ericaceae.